UGUAUAAGUAAUUGAAUUGUGGCAUUUCAAGGAUACAGCAAGAAUAAAGAAGGGAAAACAGGUAAACAGCAUUGGAAAAAAUUAUUUCCUUCUCCAGACGUUUACCUAUAAAGAGCAAAUCUACGCAUCUGCUAUGGCGGUAUGGUUCUACUAGCGAACAGUGGUCCCGGUGCGCGCACUCGCGCUGGCUAGUCGUAAGUAGUCGAUCCUACGUCUUUUUAACCCUAAACCUAAUCCUAACCUUAGAAAUAAUUUAUUUACUUAGUUUAAAAAAAUUAUUUACUUUGUUCGAAAAAACCCUAACCCCCGAUAUAUAUAUCUUUAUAUAUAAAAGUGAAGUUGUGUGCUGUCUGUCCCCUUCGAUUUAGAUUCCUAACUACUCCCACAUUUUGCGGUGCAGAGUAAUCAAAACCGGGUAUCUUAUAGUCGUGAUGCAUAUCGAGCCCUUCUGGGUAUUAGCGCUCGUCUACGAUGAGUCUACGAUUUUACAAAUAAUUUACCAUCAUUUUUUUCCAUUUUUAUGCAUUUUUUCGCUAUUAUAUAAGGGAAGUAAUUCUCUAAAAAUGUCUACGAUGAGUCAACGAUUUAAAAAAAUUACCAUAAUUUUUUUUCCAUUUUUAAUGCAUUUCUUUGCUAUUUUUUGGCUAUAACUCUCUAAAAAUGCUUAUAUAGUUAUUUCCCUUACAAACCCGAGCAACGCCGGGCGAUACUGCUAGUAUAUAUAUAAAAACACUUUCUUGAAAUGUUUCCGGUACUUAUACCGAAGUUAUGCCUUUCUGGCUUUGAUUUGUAUUCAGCCUUGAAAUACAAACGUACGCGCAAGUCGUUGUAGGAUCGACUACUUACGACUAGCUAGCGCGAGUGCGCGCACCGGGACCACUGUUCGCUAGUAGUACCUGGCGGCAUAAAAUGAAAGAGGGAGGUCAUAACAGCGGUAUGUACUGAGAAAUGUGUAAACGGACUUGAUAGAUUACUAGGUGAUGUCUUAAAGUUCAAAUUCCGCCGAGGUCGACUUUGCCUUUCAUCUUUUUAGGGGUCGAUAAAUUAAGUACCCGUUACGCCCUGGAGUCGAUGUAAUCGACUUAAUACCUAUGUCCGUCCUUGUUUGUCCCCUCUGUGUUUAGCCCCUUGUGGGUAGUAAAGGAAUAGGUAUUUCGUCUGCCGUUACGUUCUGAGUUCAAAUUCCGCCGAGGUCGACUUUGCCUUUCAUCCUUUCGGGGCCGCUAAAUUAAGUACCAGUUACGCACUGGGGUCGAUGUAAUCGACUUAAUACCUAUGUCUGUCCUUGUUCGUCCCCUCUAUGUUUAGCCCCUUGCGGGUAAUAAAGAAAUAGGUAAUGUCUUAAAGAAAUCACAUUAUCGUUGGUGAUACAGAACUCUGGGUACUACUGAAGAAGAGAGGUCCCGGUGCGCGAUCUUACUUUGUUUAACAGAAUUGGCGAUCCUUUUGGUUGUUUACGCUUGUUUAUACUCGUAUACAUUCAAAGUUCACAAAUUUCUUUAUUUAAAUUAGGAAACAUAUUCCUUCCAUGCUUCCUGAGAUUCGCCAACACUACACCUGAUUUUCUCCCCUCCAUACAUACACAAGCAUGUAUCUGACUCAUGCAUUGUUUGCUUUCCAGACAUUUGUACUAUACUCUGACUAGUUGUGGUGCACCUAAGCACUGUAUACAAUAAUUUCAUUAUUAUAUUAUUAUAUAUAAUAUCAAUAGGAUAACAAAGCUUCUUUGUUGACGAUAUUUCCUGUUCGGUCGACACUUAUUUUCAGAUUACUGGAGUCCGUUGCUUUACUCGUAGCGACGUAUAACUUGGUCGUGUGUAAAUAUAAGGAGUGGGUAAAAAUACACCUACUCGAUCUAAAUUCUGGCCCUAUGCUUUGUUUACUGUGAAUGCGCGAGCGGAAUGGUUAGGAAUCUGCGCCCAUCUACGAUGGGAGGUAAAGGCAUAGUAUCGCAAAUCUAAACCCUCGAAAUUCACGAACUAUAUGACGGUGUAAUCCAGGGUUAAUCCUCGUUGCCAGAAUUUUAAUGUGUCUGUGGCAUUUGAUUGGCUAAAAUUACCCAAAAUUUGCAAAUUUUUAAAGCUCUUUUACUCUUUUACUUGUUUCAGUCAUUUGACUGCGGCCAUGCUGGAGCACCGCCUUUAGUUGAGCAAAUCAACCCCAGGACUGUAUUCUUUGUAAGCCCAGUACUUAUUCUAUCGGUCUCUUUUGCCAAACUGCUAAGUUACGAGGAGGUAAACACACCAGCAUCGGUAGUCAAGCGAUGUUGGGGGGGGGGGGACAAGCACAGACACAUAUACAUAUAUACGACGGGCUUCUUUCAGUUUCCAUCUACCAAAUCCACUCACAAGGCUUUGGUCAGCCCGAGGCUAUAGUAGAAGACACUUGCCCAAGGUGCCAUGCAGUGGGACUGAACCUGGAACCAUGUGGUUGGUAAACAAGCUACUUACCACACAGCCACUCCUGCGCCUAUUAAUAUUUUAUUUAUUAUUUCUUGUUUAAUAUAUUUACUGUCAAUCAGAAUAGGUCUCAAAGUUGCCAAUAGACAUGUCAUUCAUUCGUUAGCUUCCGUGAGUGCGUGAGAGCAAGUGUUGUCAACCCUGAACAGAAACUGAUGGCAAUCCCUCAAGGUCGAGGAUGAUGGUCUUCGCGCAAAUUUACUGGUGAGUCCGUAGGUGACCGAUAAGACCAAUUCUUGCUUGAAAAGAUCGGUCGCAGUGCGGAUAUCUAGUGCCGGAAGGGAGAGUCGCACGUGGUUGUUGUUGGCGCUCCUUCCGUCGUCGUCUUUUCUCCUCCAGCUCUGCAGACCUUUUCGACUCGAAAUUCGCCGUUCCCUCAUGGAUGGUGGUUUUCCAGAGUGGUCUAUUUUUUUUGCCGUUUCCUCCCAGUUGGUGAAGUUAAUGUCACACUUUUUGAGGUUCGUUUUCAGGGAGUCCUUGUAGCGUUUCUUCUGGCCUUCUUUUUGUACACUUGCUGUCUUUGAGUUGGGAGUGGAAGAUCUGUUUGGGAAGUCGUUCGUCAGUCAUUCUAACCGCGUGGCCGCUCCAUCUUAGUUGCUUCGAUGCUGGUCAUUUUUGCUUCUUGUAGCACGCUGACGUUAGUUCUUCUGUCUUACCAGCUGAUGUUGAGGAUCUUCCGAAGACAGCGUUGGUGAAAUUUAGAGAAACUAAUGAAUGAAUAACAAGUCUAACGACAAUUCUGGGGUCCUUUCUGAUUGAUUGCCAAUAUUUUAAUAUAAUGUGAAUAGAGUUUAAUGAUACAAAAAUAUUUUCGCUCAAUAAACACUAAAAAUCCCCGGUCUGGGAAUUGAAACCGCGAGUCUGCUGCCCUAACCACUGGGCCAUUGCGCCUCCACAUAUAUGAUAUAGGCUUUGGACUAUGUUGUGUGAUGUCAAUUUAAUAACAAAUUGAAAAGUAAAGUUCAGUUGUUCAGGAAAUGUUUACUUCUAGAAUUUAUCUCUGUAGAAAUGGAGUAACACUUCCAUUGUUGCAUCUCUGCUACUAAAAUGAUUCCUCUAUAUCUUAUGCUGUUGUUUCUCUCUUAUUUCAGAAUAUCAGACAACUGUGACAUCAAAGAAUUGCUUCCAUCAGAUUCAUCAUCAACAUUUAUUAUCUUUUAAAGACUAAAGAAAAACGUUAUAUGCAACAAAUAUAUAAUUCUGUGGUAAACUACAGUGAAAUAUUUCUUGUGAACGGAGUUUAAUGGCAGCAUUUCUCUACUGUAAAGUCUGCAAUAUGUACAAGAUGAAUUUGCCUUCUAGUAAUUAAAUUUGGAUGAAGUUUCAAAUAUGUUUGUGGCAUCUUCAGAUAUUGAUGGAAGUCAGAAUUGAUGGGAAAAUAGUUGUAAAACAUUUAAAAGAAAUAAAAGAUAAAAAGUGAAACAAGAAAAUAAACCGUAUAUUGUUCUGAGAGAAGAAAACUAUUGAAGCAAUG
This 3933-nucleotide long non-coding RNA is filed under the name Octopus vulgaris (common octopus). Lineage: Eukaryota; Metazoa; Mollusca; Cephalopoda; Octopoda; Octopodidae. The record is from RNAcentral.